CCUACGGGGGGCUGCAGUGAGGAAUAUUGGUCAAUGGCCGUAAGGCUGAACCAGCCAAGUAGCGUGAGGGAAGACUGCCCUAUGGGUUGUAAACCUCUUUUAUGCGGGGAUAAAGGUGUCCACGUGUGGAUGUUUGCAGGUACCGUAUGAAUAAGGACCGGCUAAUUCCGUGCCAGCAGCCGCGGUAAUACGGAAGAUCCGGGCGUUAUCCGGAUUUAUUGGGUUUAAAGGGAGCGUAGGCCGGUCUUUAAGCGUGCCGUGAAAUGUUGGGGCUCAACCAUGAGAGUGCGGCGCGAACUGGGGACCUUGAGUGCGCGUAAGGCAGGCGGAAGUCGGGGUGUAGCGGUGAAAUGCUUAGAUAUCACGAAGAACCCCGAUUGCGAAGGCAGCCUGCCGCAGCGUUACUGACGCUGAAGCUCGAAAGCGGGGGUAUCGAACAGGAUUAGAUACCCUGGUAGUC
RNAcentral lists this ribosomal RNA (460 nucleotides) under uncultured bacterium. RNAcentral describes it as "partial 16S ribosomal RNA". It matches the Rfam family "Bacterial small subunit ribosomal RNA", at positions 338 to 795 of the family's 1533-position model. The record is from RNAcentral.